GAGUUUGAUUCUGGCUCAGAUUGAACGCUGGCGGCAUGCUUUACACAUGCAAGUCGGACGGCAGCACAGAGAAGCUUGCUUCUUGGGUGGCGAGUGGCGAACGGGUGAGUAAUAUAUUGGAACGUACCGAGUAAUGGGGGAUAACUUGCCGAAAGGUAAGCUAAUACCGCAUACGCUCUGAGGAGGAAAGCAGGGGACCUUCGGGCCUUGCGUUAUUCGAGCGGCCAAUAUCUGAUUAGCUAGUUGGUGGGGUAAAGGCCUACCAAGGCGACGAUCAGUAGCGGGUCUGAGAGGAUGAUCCGCCACACUGGGACUGAGACACGGCCCAGACUCCUACGGGAGGCAGCAGUGGGGAAUUUUGGACAAUGGGCGCAAGCCUGAUCCAGCCAUGCCGCGUGUCUGAAGAAGGCCUUCGGGUUGUAAAGGACUUUUGUCAGGGAAGAAAAGGUUGUGGCUAAUAUCCAUGACUGAUG
This 473-nucleotide ribosomal RNA is filed under the name Neisseria weaveri. RNAcentral describes it as "bacterial SSU rRNA". It matches the Rfam family "Bacterial small subunit ribosomal RNA", at positions 9 to 478 of the family's 1533-position model. Lineage: Bacteria; Pseudomonadati; Pseudomonadota; Betaproteobacteria; Neisseriales; Neisseriaceae. The record is from RNAcentral.